UUUAAUGAGAGUUUGAUCCUGGCUCAGGACGAACGCUGGCGGCGUGCCUAAUACAUGCAAGUAGAACGCUGAGGUUUGGUGUUUACACUAGACUGAUGAGUUGCGAACGGGUGAGUAACGCGUAGGUAACCUGCCUCAUAGCGGGGGAUAACUAUUGGAAACGAUAGCUAAUACCGCAUAAGAGUAAUUAACACAUGUUGGUUAUUUAAAAGGAGCAAUUGCUUCACUGUGAGAUGGACCUGCGUUGUAUUAGCUAGUUGGUGAGGUAAAGGCUCACCAAGGCGACGAUACAUAGCCGACCUGAGAGG
RNAcentral lists this ribosomal RNA (308 nucleotides) under Streptococcus agalactiae. RNAcentral's name for it is "bacterial SSU rRNA". It matches the Rfam family "Bacterial small subunit ribosomal RNA", at positions 1 to 299 of the family's 1533-position model. The record is from RNAcentral. Lineage: Bacteria; Bacillati; Bacillota; Bacilli; Lactobacillales; Streptococcaceae.